This 88-nucleotide transfer RNA is filed under the name Blumeria hordei DH14. Its description in RNAcentral is "tRNA-Pro for anticodon AGG". The record is from RNAcentral. Lineage: Eukaryota; Fungi; Ascomycota; Leotiomycetes; Helotiales; Erysiphaceae.
GGUCUUGUGGUCUAGAGGUAUGAUUCUCGCUUAGGGAACACCCGAAUUCGAUUGCGAGAGGCCCCGCGUUCGAAUCGCGGCAAGACCC